RNAcentral lists this ribosomal RNA (305 nucleotides) under Ehrlichia canis. Its description in RNAcentral is "bacterial SSU rRNA". It matches the Rfam family "Bacterial small subunit ribosomal RNA", at positions 128 to 449 of the family's 1533-position model. The record is from RNAcentral. Lineage: Bacteria; Pseudomonadati; Pseudomonadota; Alphaproteobacteria; Rickettsiales; Anaplasmataceae.
ACCUAGUAGUACGGAAUAGCCAUUAGAAAUGGAGGGUAAUACUGUAUAAUCCCCGAGGGGGAAAGAUUUAUCGCUAUUAGAUGAGCCUACGUUAGAUUAGCUAGUUGGCGAGGUAAUGGCUUACCAAGGCUAUGAUCUAUAGCUGGUCUGAGAGGACGAUCAGCCACACUGGAACUGAGAUACGGUCCAGACUCCUACGGGAGGCAGCAGGGGGGAAUAUUGGACAAUGGGGGAAAGCCUGAUCCAGCUAUGCCGCGCGAGCGAAGAAGGCCUUCGGGUUGUAAAACUCUUUCAAUAGGGAAGAU